UACUGUAACGCGCGUUUGGAGGGACGGAGGGAAAGAGUUCUUGUAAAAAGUACAGCGAUUCCAGUCUAGCAGUAGUUUUCAGCGAUCCCCAACGAACGAUUUUGAGAACAUGAAGAAAGGAGUGCAUCCUCAGAUGCAGUGGAUAUCCUAUGUGACUCAAAGUGGGCGUUUAAUGAACAUUAUGAUGACCAAGAUACACCAGACUGGAAAGGUUUAUCACAUCAAAGCAAAACGUCAAAUGGCUCAAAAAAUCGGACAGAUUGCCAAGUUCAAUCUUCGUUAUGGACAGAAAGAAGAGGAAAGCCAGGAGAAAUGACUUCUUGGUAUGUUGUUUAGGAUUAUGCUUUUCUACUCAUAUGAUCAUUGAUACUUGGUGUUAACUUUCUUAGUUGCUAAACUUUGCUGAAAUAAAGUGGAGUUGGAUCUCCUUCUCUCUUGGCUCAA
Molecule: long non-coding RNA, 444 nt
Organism: Impatiens glandulifera
Lineage: Eukaryota; Viridiplantae; Streptophyta; Magnoliopsida; Ericales; Balsaminaceae
Exons: 2
Source: RefSeq, a predicted model, not a curated record